RNAcentral lists this ribosomal RNA (242 nucleotides) under uncultured bacterium. RNAcentral's name for it is "partial 16S ribosomal RNA". It matches the Rfam family "Bacterial small subunit ribosomal RNA", at positions 29 to 246 of the family's 1533-position model. The record is from RNAcentral.
AGCGAACGCUGGCGGCGUGCUUAACACAUGCAAGUCGAGCGAAGGUGUUUCAAGGGGUAACCUUGAGAUACACUUAGCGGCGGACGGGUGAGUAAUACGUGGAUAACUUACCUCUAGGCCUGGGAUAACCCCGGGAAACUGGGGCUAAUACCUGAUAAGACCACAUUGUCUACGGACAAAGGGGUAAAAGGUGGCUGGUGCAAACAGCUAUCGCCAAAAGAUAGGUUCACGUCCCAUCAGGC